UAAUAAAUUUAUAUGAUUGUG
This is a non-coding RNA of Caenorhabditis elegans, 21 nucleotides long. NCBI's taxonomy places the organism in Eukaryota, Metazoa, Nematoda, Chromadorea, Rhabditida, Rhabditidae. The record is from Ensembl.